AAGUACGUAACGGACUCAUAAUUGAACCUAAGUGAUCUAUGAGUUAGUGGCGGACGGGUGAGUAACGCGUGGAGUAACCUGCCGUAUACCGGGGGAUAACACUUAGAAUAGGUGCUAUACCGCAUAGCGCACGGCUCCGCAUGGGGCGAGUGUGAAAAACUCCGGUGGUAUACGAUGGAUCCGCGUCUGAUUAGCUAGUUGCGGGGUAACGGCCCACCAAGGCAGCGAUCAGUAGCCGGCCUGAGAGGGUGGACGGCCACAUUGGGACUGAGACACGGCCCAAACUCCUACAGGAGGCAGCAGUGGGGAAUAUUGCACAAUGGGGGAAACCCUGAUGCAGCGACGCCGCGUGAGUGAAGAAGUAUCUCGGUACGUAAAGCUCUAUCAGCAGGGAAGAAAAUGACGGUACCUGACUAAGAAGCCCCGGCUAACUACGUG
Molecule: ribosomal RNA, 438 nt
Filed under: uncultured Lachnospiraceae bacterium
Lineage: Bacteria; Bacillati; Bacillota; Clostridia; Lachnospirales; Lachnospiraceae
Description: bacterial SSU rRNA
Rfam family: Bacterial small subunit ribosomal RNA
Source: RNAcentral